GACGAACGCUGGCGGCGUGCUUAACACAUGCAAGUCGAACGGAAAGGUCAUGAUUUUGUGGGGUGCUCGAGUGGCGAACGGGUGAGUGAAACGUGAGUAACCUGCCCUUGACUUUGGGAUAAAAUCAGGGAACUGGGGCUCAUACCGGGUAGGAGCUCCUGCUGCAUGGUGGGGGUUGGAAAAUGUCGGCGGUUUUGGCUGGAAUAGCGGCUUAUCAGCUUGUUGGUGGGGUAGUGGAUUACCAAGGGUUUGACGGGUAGCCGGCCUGAGAGGGUGACCGGCCACAUUGGGACUGCGAGACGGCCCAGAAUCGUACGGGCGGCAGCGGGGGGGAAUAUUGCACAAUGGGGGGAAGCCUGAGGCAGCAACGCCGCGUGCGGGAUGACGGCCUUCGGGUUGUAAACCGCUUUGGCCGGAGACGAAGAGGGAGUGACGGUAAUGGGUAAAGAAGCACCGGCUAACUACGUG
This 468-nucleotide ribosomal RNA is filed under the name uncultured bacterium. RNAcentral's name for it is "partial 16S ribosomal RNA". It matches the Rfam family "Bacterial small subunit ribosomal RNA", at positions 28 to 507 of the family's 1533-position model. The record is from RNAcentral.